Molecule: long non-coding RNA, 790 nt
Organism: Aedes albopictus (Asian tiger mosquito)
Lineage: Eukaryota; Metazoa; Arthropoda; Insecta; Diptera; Culicidae
Exons: 2
Source: RefSeq, a predicted model, not a curated record
AUUCGACCCACCAUGUGUUUUAAAUUUUAUUUAUCUAAAUUUUAUACAGAAAAGCUCAACCUAUUGAUAUCAUUUUCCUAAUAAGCGAGCUGUGCAGGACUACCAGAAACUGGUAAACAAUACUCGAGAUGCUGGCGUCGAGUAACUGUUGUGCAUUUGUUUUCAAUGCUUUCAACACGCUUGAUCUCCCGGCCCGCAUAUACAAGAAAGUGAUCCAUUCGGCAGUGUUGAUUGCUAUCAAAGACAUACCGCUGUGGCCACGGAUGUGGCAGUACCAUCGACGACAGUAGCAGCACCGACGAAGGAGCAGUGCGAAAUAGUGCGAUUAAUGAUGAUCUUGGCCACCAUGUGCACACUACUUUGACGAGAACAUUCGCCGCGACUAUGUUUGGAUGGCACGGAGAUAGAUAGAAAUGCAACGGAGAACGCUUUAGCAAAACACCAGCCAAGUGCUUCACAACAGUAAUGAAAAUCGUUAUUUCCAAGAUUUCACACCUAUCCAGUUCCACCCGUUCCAGUCAUUGAAACCGUCAUCGGAAGAAUGUCGUGUGAAUCAACAUAACCAUGGAACUCAGCUGAUUCAAAACCCUUAGGAUGACCCAGUAAGUUUGCGAGAAGUAUGUCCCGUCUGGUGUAUGUCAGCUGGCCAGCCAGACCUGAUCAAGGGUCUGAUGCAUCGGACAGUUAGCUGGAAGGCAUGAUAAUGUGAUGUACAUCGGUAAAUUCAUAUGCUAAUAUUAUUUGGUUUAAUGAACACAUUGAUUAAAUAAAACAGAUAUAUUUAUAUUUA